This 348-nucleotide unclassified non-coding RNA is filed under the name soil metagenome. RNAcentral describes it as "partial contains 5.8S ribosomal RNA, internal transcribed spacer 2, and large subunit ribosomal RNA". The stretch from base 2 to 120 matches the Rfam family "5.8S ribosomal RNA", at positions 36 to 154 of the family's 154-position model. The record is from RNAcentral.
UAUGAAGAACGUAGCGAAAUGCGAUAAGUAAUGUGAAUUGCAGAAUUCAGUGAAUCAUCGAAUCUUUGAACGCACAUUGCGCCCGCCAGUAUUCUGGCGGGCAUGCCUGUCUGAGCGUCAUUUCAACCCUCAUGCCCCUAGGGCGUGGUGUUGGGGAUCGGCCAAAGCCCGCGAGGGACGGCCGGCCCCUAAAUCUAGUGGCGGACCCGUCGUGGCCUCCUCUGCGAAGUAGUGAUAUUCCGCAUCGGAGAGCGAUGAGCCCCUGCCGUUAAACCCCCAACUUUCCAAGGUUGACCUCAGAUCAGGUAGGAAUACCCGCUGAACUUAAGCAUAUCAAUAAGCGGAGGA